UACGUAGGUGGCGAGCGUUAUCCGGAAUGAUUGGGCGUAAAGGGUGCGUAGGCGGCCUGCUAAGUCUGGAGUGAAAGGUACCGGCUCAACCGGUACAGGCUCUGGAAACUGGCGGGCUAGAGAGCAGGAGAGGGCGGUGGAAUUCCUAGUGUAGCGGUGAAAUGCGUAGAUAUUAGGAGGAACACCAGUGGCGAAGGCGGCUUACUGGACGACUACUGACGCUGAGGCUCGAAAGCGUGGGGAGCAAACAGG
Molecule: ribosomal RNA, 252 nt
Filed under: uncultured bacterium
Lineage: Bacteria
Description: partial 16S ribosomal RNA
Rfam family: Bacterial small subunit ribosomal RNA
Source: RNAcentral